GUUGAUAAAUAUUAGCUGUUGAAAAACAAAAUUAUCUCACCUAACCUUGAAAUGCUGAUUUAAGAUGACAGAAUAAAAAUGAAUAAUAUGCUAAACCUAAUCUACUGAACCUGUCUGCAGUCUGCACCAAAGAUAAUCCUAAUUAUCAGCCAUAGGCAUUUCUGGCCAACCAAAUCAAACAUGUUAAAAACCCAAGAUUAGUUUUCUAAAUUUCAGAUAUUUAGACAAUUAGUUUUCUAGUCCAACAUUUCAACAAAUUUAAUAAAUUAAAGGUCUU
RNAcentral lists this unclassified non-coding RNA (277 nucleotides) under Hevea brasiliensis (rubber tree). Lineage: Eukaryota; Viridiplantae; Streptophyta; Magnoliopsida; Malpighiales; Euphorbiaceae. The record is from RNAcentral.